GCUGAAAGCAUCUAAGCGGGAAACUUGCCUCAAGAUGAGAUCUCACUGGGAACUUGAUUCCCCUGAAGGGCCGUCGAAGACUACGACGUUGAUAGGCUGGGUGUGUAAGCGUUGUGAGGCGUUGAGCUAACCAGUACUAAUUGCCCGUGAGGCUUGACCAUAUAACACCCAAACA
RNAcentral lists this ribosomal RNA (175 nucleotides) under Pseudomonas aeruginosa. RNAcentral describes it as "partial 23S ribosomal RNA". It matches the Rfam family "Bacterial large subunit ribosomal RNA", at positions 2770 to 2925 of the family's 2925-position model. The record is from RNAcentral. Lineage: Bacteria; Pseudomonadati; Pseudomonadota; Gammaproteobacteria; Pseudomonadales; Pseudomonadaceae.